GAGGAUAUAGCUCAGUGGCAAAGUAUGUUGCUAACAAGCACAGGGUCCUGGGUUCAAUCCCCAGUACCUCCA
This 72-nucleotide transfer RNA is filed under the name Camelus bactrianus (Bactrian camel). It matches the Rfam family "tRNA". Rfam says of the family: Transfer RNA (tRNA) molecules are approximately 80 nucleotides in length. Their secondary structure includes four short double-helical elements and three loops (D, anti-codon, and T loops). Further hydrogen bonds mediate the characteristic L-shaped molecular structure. tRNAs have two regions of fundamental functional importance: the anti-codon, which is responsible for specific mRNA codon recognition, and the 3' end, to which the tRNAs corresponding amino acid is attached (by aminoacyl-tRNA synthetases). tRNAs cope with the degeneracy of the genetic code in two manners: having more than one tRNA (with a specific anti-codon) for a particular amino acid; and 'wobble' base-pairing, i.e. permitting non-standard base-pairing at the 3rd anti-codon position. Lineage: Eukaryota; Metazoa; Chordata; Mammalia; Artiodactyla; Camelidae. RNAcentral also lists the same sequence under 2 other names. The record is from Rfam by way of RNAcentral.